Molecule: long non-coding RNA, 3064 nt
Organism: Myotis myotis
Lineage: Eukaryota; Metazoa; Chordata; Mammalia; Chiroptera; Vespertilionidae
Exons: 3
Source: RefSeq, a predicted model, not a curated record
UUCUCAGGGACUGUUCCGUCUGGUUCUUGGCACACAUUAUGCGUUCAGUACAGCCGCCUUCUCACCUCCCUCACUAAGCACACACGGCAGAUUCAACCAGAAAGAAAACAGCUGGGCACUCAAGGUUCAGACGGUAACUUCAGAAAGCUACUCUUCAGACAGUUGGAAGAAAAACAUAUCGGAAUUUAGUCGUGUUUUGCUCUAAUUAAAACACAUACCUUGUUGAAAACACACCUCCCAUCUUUAGGAGACACUAAUGUGCUCAGAUAUAUGUAGGAGUGUUUUUAGAAGGUUGUUCCUUUCACCCUUUCCUUUCCGUCCUAUAAGCACCGGACAAGCCAAACCUAUUGCAUCUGAACAGCAGCACCAACUUGCUCUACACCUAAUUUGAUGACCCUUCUCUUAGUUUCAAUGAAAGGAGUUCUCCGUGGAGCCCAGGUCUCUAACCUUCAAAGCGCCCUUUCUUUUCCGCACUCGGGACCUUUUGGCGAGUUUUAGAUGGGAAUUUGCAAUCCCAGUGCCUGGGAUGCUGGCUCUUCACCAGAAUCCCGGCUGUGAUUAAUCUGCCUUUCCUGAAGGCAGAAGGUGACCUACUGGGGCGAUGCGCGCCGCGCUGGAGGGGAGCUCCCAGCGGCGGGAGGAGGCUCGCGAGCGCGGCCAGACCGGUCCCAACCCGCCGCCGCUGCGCCCCCGAAACUGGGGAACGGGGAGUGCUGUGGCCCAGCGAUCAUGCAUUUCUUCCAUGAAUUCACCUCCCGGGGCCUCUCUUACCUGCGGAAGGGCGUUUCUGCUCGUCAAAUCGCUCACAUCCUUGGAUAACCAGCCCCGGAGGACCACGACCUUCAGCCAUCCGCGCGCGGGCAGCCACGCGCUGGAGGCCGGGGUGGGGGCAGGACCCAGCCUGAGACCCCGCCCAACGUCUGGUACCUGCCAGUUACAGGCGCCCAGAGCGUUAAACUGGAGGCGGGAAUCCGCAGCCUAUGGGCAGACACCAACUGCGGACCUUAAAGUAAGGAAGGACUUGAAGUAUUAUACUGAUACCAAUAUCAACGUGAGGAAGCAAGAUGAACUGAAUGCAAAGUCGAUCUGUUUAUACACGGCAGUUCCUAUAAAUCCAUUUAUUUCUCUCAAAAAUUCCCGAGAGACACAGCUUUGAUCCCCACUCUGCACAUGAAAAAAACGAAGGCAGAAAGAGACAAGAUUCCAAAGAUGAGAGAGAAUAAAUACUCCUUGAUGCUAAGUUCUUGAAGAUACUGGGAGAAGAAGUUGAUGUCAUCAUGAUGCCAGGCUGAAGGGAAACAACCAGCCCUGUACCGUCAGAGUGCAGGGGACAGAAUGAGCAAUUCCAAAGCACGGAGUACGCAGGACUGGAGGAAGCAGGUGGAGGAAGGAAGAAAGUCUCACCAAAUUCCAUGAGCAAAGCCAGAGGAAACUUACCCUAGAGGAAGAGGCUACUGCCUAGCAGCAGCAUUGCUUCUGGCAGCAGCACUUACACUGGCAGCACUUCUGCUGACAGCAGCCCUUCCCGCAGCCACAGCCACAGCCACAGGAGCCACAGCCACAGGAGCCACAGCCACAGGAGCGGCGGCAGCAGCAGACCACGGGGACGCUGCAGCAGCCCCCGCAGCAGCCACGGCAGCAGGGGCAGCAGCCAGAGCAGCAGCCGACCCUGUAGCAUCUGCAGGUGGUGCAGCCACCGCAGCCGCCGCCGCAGCCACCACAGCCGCCGCCACAGCCACAGCCACCACCACAACCACCACAGCCACAGCCACCACCGCAGCCACCACAGCCACAGCACCCCAUGGUAUCAGCAGAGAGGACUCAGGUGAAGUGAGGAGAGAGACUUAGGAGAUGAGAGACGUCUGAUGCCCUUUGCUUCAGGGGCCCUUAUAUACCCCCUUGGGGCUGAAACCAGGCCACGUGGCCACUUCCUGAUUGUAGUUCACCAGCUUUCCUCGGAGAAUUUCACAAGACCCUGAGUGUAUUUCCUCACGGACACCUCUGAGCUCACAGACUUGUUUAUUUUUGUACUUCUUCCUCAAGUUACUCUUCUAGUAAAACAUGUUUCUAGAAUGUUUAAUCUUGUUUGAAUCUAGCUGUCUUCACGUCCCAAGCCAAGGUCCCUCUGUGACUCAUUGUCUUUAGUUUAGGAUAAAUCAUGUCUACUUUUUAGAAGCAGACUAUAUUUUUUAGAGCAGUUUCAGGCUCAUGGCAAAAUAGUGCUGAAAGUACAGAGUGUUUCCAUAGGCCCCUUGUCCCCCUGUUCACAGCCUCCCCGCUAUCAGCCCCUGCACCGCAGCAGUGCAGUUGUGACAAUGAGCCUAUGUUGACAUGUGAUUAUCACCUGAAAUUCUGUGUUUUUUUUUUUUUAAUGCCUUCAUGUUACCGGAUCACAGCCCUUUGUCUGUGUUCACAAUCAGACUGUGAGCUUCCUAAAGUCUGGGGUUGUAUUGUAUGUGUAUUUUCAUCCCAGUAUCAGGAGCACAGAGGUGAGCUGACAAAGAGACAGGUUAAUGAGUAAAUGUUUGUGCCCCUCACCCCCCAGUUCAUAUGCUGAAUCUUAAGCACAUUUUAAUGGGAGUCUAUUUUACCUCCUGGGAACAGUUGGGUUGUCAUAAUUGGGAGAGUGGCCAUAGCUAGUGGGUGGAAGCCAGGGGCUGUUCAACAUCCUACCAUGCACAGGACAUCCCCACAACAAGGAUCUGUCUGGCUCCAGCCGUCAGUGGUGCCAAAGUUGAGAAACACUGCUGUAGGGCUUUACACUUCCAAAGCAUUUUCCCAUUUAUUAUUUCAAUACCAUAGAGUUUCCAGAGACUCAUCUACAAGAAAAUUAUUCCUCCCUCACUUAAUUAAUAAAGAAGCAUGAAGCCCCUGGCAUGUAUGAAGUUCUGUGCUGGCAAGUCCCGUAACAGAUCAUUGGUGCCUUUGUUUGGUCUGUGAUUUAGAACAGGAACUAAGGCCGGAUCAGGGCCACGUGUAUCAGAACAUGUGAGACUGCGAUGUGGGUCGUGUCUGCUGAUACCAACGGCUUUGAGUGUUAAUGAACAAUAUAUAUCUACACAGU